GCCGCUGUGGCGGAAUUGGCAGACGCACUUGACUCAAAAUCAAGCGGUUAACAGCCGUGCCGGUUCGAAUCCGGCCAGCGGCA
This 83-nucleotide transfer RNA is filed under the name Murimonas intestini. RNAcentral's name for it is "tRNA-Leu". It matches the Rfam family "tRNA". From Rfam's summary of the family: Transfer RNA (tRNA) molecules are approximately 80 nucleotides in length. Their secondary structure includes four short double-helical elements and three loops (D, anti-codon, and T loops). The record is from RNAcentral. Lineage: Bacteria; Bacillati; Bacillota; Clostridia; Lachnospirales; Lachnospiraceae.